GGACGAACGCUGGCGGCGUGCUUAACACAUGCAAGUCUAGGGAUCUUCGGAUCACUGGCGUACGGGUGAGUAACGCGUAGGCAACCUGCCUGUAUCUCUGACAUAACAACAAGAAAUUGUUGCUAAUAUCAGAUGAGAGCUCCGGCUCAAAGCUUCGGCGGAUACAGAUGGGCCUGCGUCUAAUUAGCUAGUUGGUGAGGUAAUGGCUCACCAAGGCAACGAUUAGUAGCUGGUUUGAGAGGAUGAUCAGCCACACUGGAACUGAGACACGGUCCAGACUCCUACGGGAGGCAGCAGUGAGGAAUUUUGGACAAUGGGGGAAACCCUGAUCCAGCGACGCCGUGUGUGGGAUGACGGGGCUUUGCCCUGUAAACUACUGUCAGAUGGGAAGAAAAGUUCGCUCGGCGGACUGGGACUGUACCAUCAGAGGAAGGACCGGCUAACUACGUGCCAGCAGCCGCGGUAAUACGUAGGGUCCAAGCGUUGUCCGGAAUUACUGGGUAUACAGGGUGCGUAGGCGGACUUGUGCGUCGGAGGUUAAAAUGUCCGGGCUUAACCCGGAACCUGCCUUCGAUACGGCAAGUCUUGAGUAUGAGAGAGGAUGGUGGAAUUCCUUGGUGUAGCGGUGAAAUUGCGUAGAUAUCAGGAGGAAACAUCAGUGGCGAAGGCGGCCAUCUGGCUCAUUACUGACGCUCAGGCACGAAAGCGUGGGUAGCAAACCGGAUUAGAUACCCUGGUAGUCCACGCC
RNAcentral lists this ribosomal RNA (748 nucleotides) under uncultured organism. Its description in RNAcentral is "bacterial SSU rRNA". It matches the Rfam family "Bacterial small subunit ribosomal RNA", at positions 27 to 801 of the family's 1533-position model. The record is from RNAcentral.